CCUACGGGUGGCAGCAGUGGGGAAUAUUGGGCAAUGGAGGCAACUCUUACCCAGCAAUGCCGCGUGAGUGAAGAAGGUCUUCGGAUUGUAAAGUUCUUUAAUCGGGGACGCAAAAAAUGACGGUACUAAAGCAAUAAGCCCCGGCUAACUACGUGCCAGCAGACGCGGGAAGACGUAGGGGGCAAGCGUUGUGCGGAAUGACUGGGCGUAAAGGGUGUGUAGGCGGGGUAGCGAGAUAGAAGUGAAAUACCUAGAGCUUAACUCAGGUGCUGCUUCUGAAACUGCUAUGCUUGAGUGCAGUAGAGGAAAGUGGAAUGCCUAGUGUAGCGGUGGAAUGCGUAGAUAUUAGGAGGAACAUCAGUUGCGAAGGCGGCUUUCUGGACUGUAACUGACGCUGAGGCACGAAAGUGUGGGGAGCAAACAGGAUUAGAUACCCUAGUAGUC
This 444-nucleotide ribosomal RNA is filed under the name uncultured bacterium. RNAcentral's name for it is "partial 16S ribosomal RNA". It matches the Rfam family "Bacterial small subunit ribosomal RNA", at positions 338 to 795 of the family's 1533-position model. The record is from RNAcentral.